UUGAGUAUAGGUUCACACGUGGCUGUUAGAGGAGAUGUGAACCAUGACAUGUAGUUCAAUCUACCUAAUAGACCACGAACCUCUUUUCCUGUUCUCGGUUCAGGCACUUCUUGUUUUUUUUUUUUUUAGCAGGAUCAACCUCGAUUCCUCUUUCACUUACAAUGAACCCCUAGCAGCUUACCGGCCCGCACUCUGAUAGUGCACUUAUUCGAAUUCAACCUCAGUCUGAAUUAUCGCAACCGGUCAAAC
RNAcentral lists this long non-coding RNA (249 nucleotides) under Lathyrus oleraceus (garden pea). RNAcentral describes it as "Pisum sativum (pea) long non-coding RNA (PSAT_LNC009014)". The record is from RNAcentral. Lineage: Eukaryota; Viridiplantae; Streptophyta; Magnoliopsida; Fabales; Fabaceae.